GAACGAACGCUGGCGGCGUGCAUAAUACAUGCAAGUGGAACGCAAACUUUUCAUCCGUUUCUUCGGAAACAUCUGAGAAGUUGAGUCGCGAACGGGUGAGUAACGCGUAGGUAACCUGCCUGAUAGCGGGGGAUAACUAUUGGAAACGAUAGCUAAUACCGCAUAAGAGCUUUAGUGGCAUCAUUGGAGCUUAAAAGGAGCAACUGCUUCACUAUUAGAUGGACCUGCGUUGUAUUAGCUAGUUGGUGGGGUAAAGGCCUACCAAGGCAACGAUACAUAGCCGACCUGAGAGGGUGAUCGGCCACACUGGGACUGAGACACGCCCAGA
This 328-nucleotide ribosomal RNA is filed under the name Streptococcus sp. 200. RNAcentral's name for it is "bacterial SSU rRNA". It matches the Rfam family "Bacterial small subunit ribosomal RNA", at positions 27 to 335 of the family's 1533-position model. Lineage: Bacteria; Bacillati; Bacillota; Bacilli; Lactobacillales; Streptococcaceae. The record is from RNAcentral.